AACGAACGCUGGCGGCAUGCCUAACACAUGCAAGUCGAACGAGACCUUCGGGUCUAGUGGCGCAUGGGUGCGUAACGCGUGGGAACCUGCCCUUAGGUUCGGAAUAACUCCCCGAAAGGGGUGCUAAUACCGGAUAAUGUCUUCGGACCAAAGAUUUAUCGCCUUUGGAUGGGCCCGCGUUGGAUUAGCUAGUUGGUAGGGUAAAAGCCUACCAAGGCGACGAUCCAUAGCUGGUCUGAGAGGAUGAUCAGCCACACUGGGACUGAGACACGGCCCAGACUCCUACGGGAGGCAGCAGUGGUGAAUAUUGGACAAUGGGCGAAAGCCUGAUCCAGCAAUGCCGCGUGAGUGAUGAAGGCCUUAGGGUUGUAAAGCUCUUUUACCCGGGAUGAUAAUGACAGUACCGGGAGAAUAAGCUCCGGCUAACUCCGUG
Molecule: ribosomal RNA, 433 nt
Filed under: uncultured bacterium
Lineage: Bacteria
Description: partial 16S ribosomal RNA
Rfam family: Bacterial small subunit ribosomal RNA
Source: RNAcentral